This 67-nucleotide small RNA is filed under the name Arabidopsis thaliana (thale cress). Its description in RNAcentral is "ATSL119870". Lineage: Eukaryota; Viridiplantae; Streptophyta; Magnoliopsida; Brassicales; Brassicaceae. The record is from RNAcentral.
AAAAAAACAUUCGGUAUAUUUUCUGGGCAUCAGAUAAUCAUAAAAGUUAGCAUCACAUAGAAUCAGA